This 253-nucleotide ribosomal RNA is filed under the name uncultured bacterium. RNAcentral describes it as "partial 16S ribosomal RNA". It matches the Rfam family "Bacterial small subunit ribosomal RNA", at positions 524 to 776 of the family's 1533-position model. The record is from RNAcentral.
UACGAAGGGGGCAAGCGUUGUUCGGAAUGACUGGGCGUAAAGGGCGCGUAGGCGGCUCUGUUUGUCUGAUGUGAAAGCCCCGGGCUUAACCUGGGAAUAGCAUUGGAAACGGCAGAGCUAGAGGGAGAAAGAGGAAAGUGGAAUUGCGAGUGUAGAGGUGAAAUUCGUAGAGAUUCGCAAGAACACCGAUGGCGAAGGCAGCUUUCUGGUUCUCAUCUGACGCUGAGGCGCGAAAGCGUGGGGAGCAAACAGG